AAGUAUAUGUUCACAGGGGUCCAAAACUAACUAAUAACCCCAAACAACAAAACAAACAUCACACAUCAACAUGUAUACAUACAUAAAUCAUCAAAAACUACCAUGAAUAACCUAAGCAUGCUUCUCCUUCCUUUCACUCUUCAGAAAACAUAUAAACAGGGUCUAAAACUGCCCUUACCUCUGGAAACAGGAAGAUACACACACUGAACAAAGGAAAACCAGA
Molecule: long non-coding RNA, 223 nt
Filed under: Manihot esculenta (cassava)
Lineage: Eukaryota; Viridiplantae; Streptophyta; Magnoliopsida; Malpighiales; Euphorbiaceae
Description: long non-coding RNA (MESC_LNC002803)
Source: RNAcentral